RNAcentral lists this long non-coding RNA (1607 nucleotides) under Cinara cedri. The record is from RNAcentral. Lineage: Eukaryota; Metazoa; Arthropoda; Insecta; Hemiptera; Aphididae.
UUUAUUCUUAUUCUGUCUCUCACCGUCUAUAUCUAUCACACCUACCUAUCAUUACCUGUAUUUAUUAACCUUAAAGUAACAUUUUUUUUUCUAUUUUGUUCAUACUCAUACGAUCACAACGUACACUAAAAAAACCAGCGCCAAAUAUAUCCGAUUAUAUUGGAAAAGUAACUACAUACGCCCGUAAAAGGGCCCAAAUUAUUAUUGUCUUAUUGUCUGUUGAGAGGUUUUACUGUAUAAAGAGGCUGUUUCGCAUUCGGGGGAAAAUAUGUAAUAUAUUUGAUUGAAAUCAAACUGAUAAUAUAUACAUAUUAUGAAUACUAAUCGCAGGUAAACACGACGACAAAACUAUUCGAAAGACUAAAAAAUUCUAAAUUAAAACCAACUCAAAACCAAAACCCAAUCAAACCAAAUGAGAUAUAGGUAUUUAAAACGAAUAAUUUAUAAUACAAUUUGUUUGAAAUAAUCAUAAACGUGCGCACUAGGAGCCAGGGUCUAUUACCCUGCUGAUUUUUUUUUAUAUACAUUGCAGAAUCUGCAUUGCAGGUAUCAGGCAAUUUAGUUUAUUUUAUAAUUUAUUUAUAGGAUAUUUAUAUUAGGAUUAACUAGGUAAUUAUUUCUUUGAUUUAUAGUCUUGUAUAGUCAGAAAUUAUGUGUUAUCGAUCAUAAUACAUACAAAUACACAAUACCCAACCACAAAAUUAUAAUAAUGGUCAAUAUUUAACAAUUUUGUCAAUUAUUCAGUGCUUUAUAUUAUUUUUUUUUUAAAAAAACAUAUAAUAAUAACCACCGUCAGCCCCCUCUGCGCAAUCAUAUUUAAAUAUAAUAAAAUGUAAAUACCUUCCUAAAAAAAGAAAAAUAUCCACAAUAUCAGGUUAACGCUCAAAAAUAUUGUUCAACCGUACCUAUUGUUUUAUCUUAAUGUACACGUUAAACGUGUUUUUAUCACAACAUGUAUAGUAUAUACCUAUAUUUAAUUGUGUAAAAUGGAAUUUUGAAAAUGUUCAAAACAUAAAAACAAUUAUUUUAUUAUUAGGUACAUAUUAUAUAAUACAUAUUCGGCUUUUAUAUACGAAGUCAUGCUGGCAAUAACAAAUCCGGAAUAAGAAGGAGGGGGAGAAGGGUCUACGUUCCCCCGGCCGAUUUUGUCAUCAUUUAUGUAUUAUGUGUAUAAAUGUUUAUACUGUAAUAAAUAAAAAAAAACAUAAUAAUGUAUAUAAAGAAGGCCUUUAUAUUUUCGAAUUCGGCCGGGCCCACGGGGCCUUUAAUCCGCGGUUUUGGCCGACGACAUCGCUCUAUAUGUUAGUUUAAACUUGAAGAGGAAUUAAGAAAUAAUUGUACAGGUACACGUAUUUUGUCUUUUAGAUGCUUUUUUUUUCUUAUAUUCUCGUACACGCCUAUAUUUAAUUAUGCAUAAAAAUGUAAUAAUAAUUUUAAAUUUACCAUCAACAGGUUAGGUUACGUCCUAGCCUAAGCUAACCUAACCUACCUAUAUAAGUAUUAGAGUGUAGAAUUAUAUUUUAAUACAUUAUAUACGUAUAAUAUAUCUACGAUAAGAAAAUUAUACUGGCGGACGUUUACAAAAUGUUAAAAAACUAUAAUAAUAC